UGCAGUCGACGGUAACAGGAAGCAGCUUGCUGCUUUGCUGACGAGUGGCGGACGGGUGAGUAAUGUCUGGGAAACUGCCUGAUGGAGGGGGAUAACUACUGGAAACGGUAGCUAAUACCGCAUAACGUCGCAAGACCAAAGAGGGGGACCUUCGGGCCUCUUGCCAUCGGAUGUGCCCAGAUGGGAUUAGCUAGUAGGUGGGGUAAAGGCUCACCUAGGCGACGAUCCCUAGCUGGUCUGAGAGGAUGACCAGCCACACUGGAACUGAGACACGGUCCAGACUCCUACGGGAGGCAGCAGUGGGGAAUAUUGCACAAUGGGCGCAAGCCUGAUGCAGCCAUGCCGCGUGUAUGAAGAAGGCCUUCGGGUUGUAAAGUACUUUCAGCGGGGAGGAAGGGAGUAAAGUUAAUACCUUUGCUCAUUGACGUUACCCGCAGAAGAAGCACCGGCUAACUCCGUGCCAGC
RNAcentral lists this ribosomal RNA (465 nucleotides) under activated sludge bacterium OC17. RNAcentral describes it as "bacterial SSU rRNA". It matches the Rfam family "Bacterial small subunit ribosomal RNA", at positions 56 to 512 of the family's 1533-position model. The record is from RNAcentral.